RNAcentral lists this ribosomal RNA (485 nucleotides) under uncultured bacterium. RNAcentral describes it as "bacterial SSU rRNA". It matches the Rfam family "Bacterial small subunit ribosomal RNA", at positions 28 to 533 of the family's 1533-position model. The record is from RNAcentral.
GACGAACGCUGGCGGCGUGCUUAACACAUGCAAGUCGAACGCUCUCGACCUUCGGGUCACAUGAGAGAGUGGCGAACGGGUGAGUAACACGUGAGGAACCUACCCCAAAGUCGGGAAUAACUCAGGGAAACCUGAGCUAAUACCGGAUGCCCUCCAGAGAUCGAAUGGUCAUUGGAGGAAAGAUUUAUCGCUUUGGGACGGCCUCGCGGCCUAUCAGCUAGUUGGUGAGGUAAUGGCUCACCAAGGCAUCGACGGGUAGCUGGUUUGAGAGAACGAUCAGCCACACUGGGACUGAGACACGGCCCAGACUCCUACGGGAGGCAGCAGUGGGGAAUCUUGCACAAUGGGCGAAAGCCUGAUGCAGCGACGCCGCGUGGGGGAUGAAGGCUUAGGGUCGUAAACCCUUUCAGUAGGGACGAAAAUGACGGUACCUACAGAAGAAGCCCGGCCAACUACGUGCCAGCAGCCGCGGUAAGUCACAUGUG